This 497-nucleotide ribosomal RNA is filed under the name uncultured bacterium. Its description in RNAcentral is "partial 16S ribosomal RNA". It matches the Rfam family "Bacterial small subunit ribosomal RNA", at positions 899 to 1397 of the family's 1533-position model. The record is from RNAcentral.
ACUCAAAGGAAUUGACGGGGGCCCGCACAAGCGGCGGAGCAUGCGGCUUAAUUCGAUGCAACGCGAAGAACCUUACCUGGGCUUGACAUGCUGGUUAAAGCGGGUGAAAGCCCGUGUCCGCAAGGGGCCAGCACAGGUGCUGCAUGGCUGUCGUCAGCUCGUGCCGUGAGGUGUUGGCUUAAGUGCCGCAACGAGCGCAACCCCUGCUCUUAGUUGCCAGCGGGUAAUGCCGGGGACUCUAAGAGGACUGCCGGGGACAACUCGGAGGAAGGUGGGGAUGACGUCAAGUCAGCAUGGCCCUUAUGUCCAGGGCUGCACGCAUGCUACAUUGCGCGCCACAGAGGGCUGCGAUCCCGCAAGGGGGAGCGAAUCCCAAAAAAGCGCGCGUGGUUCGGAUUGGGGUCUGCAACUCGACCCCAUGAAGGCGGAGUCGCUAGUAAUCGCAGAUCAGCAACGCUGCGGUGAAUACGUUCCCGGGCCUUGCACACACCGCCCGU